This 463-nucleotide ribosomal RNA is filed under the name uncultured bacterium. RNAcentral's name for it is "bacterial SSU rRNA". It matches the Rfam family "Bacterial small subunit ribosomal RNA", at positions 26 to 507 of the family's 1533-position model. The record is from RNAcentral.
AGGACGAACGCUGGCGGCGUGCCUAACACAUGCAAGUCGAACGAGGUCCAUCCUUCGGGAGAAGACCUAGUGGCGAACGGGUGAGUAACACGUGAGGAACCUGCCCCGAAGACCGGGAUAACCCUCCGAAAGGAGAGCUAAUACCGGAUACCCCCACCGAGCCGCAUGGUUUGGUGAGGAAAUGGAUUCCGCUUCGGGAGGGCCUCGCGGCCUAUCAGCUAGUUGGUGGGGUAGCGGCCCACCAAGGCAUCGACGGGUAGCUGGUCUGAGAGGACGAUCAGCCACACUGGGACUGAGACACGGCCCAGACUCCUACGGGAGGCAGCAGUGGGGAAUCUUGCGCAAUGGGCGAAAGCCUGACGCAGCAACGCCGCGUGGGGAUGAAGGCUCUCGGGUUGUAAACCCCUUUCAGCAGGGACGAAUCAAGACGGUACCUGCAGAAGAAGCCCCGGCUAACUACGUG